Molecule: ribosomal RNA, 134 nt
Organism: Vulpes vulpes (red fox)
Lineage: Eukaryota; Metazoa; Chordata; Mammalia; Carnivora; Canidae
Source: Ensembl
ACCUACAGCCAUGCCACUCUGAACACACCCGGUCUCAUCUGAUCUUGGAAGCUAAGUAGGGUCGGGCCUGCUUAGUAUUUGGAUGAAGGACAAUAGAACCUUACCAAGCAAUAAAAGGGAAUAAGCAAUUGAUA